GUGAAUCAUCGAAUUUUUGAACGCAAAUUGCGCCUUUUUGGGAAGGCAUGUCUGUUUGAGGGCAACCUUCAACAAAUAAUGUGCAUUUCGUGUGCACUCGUUGAUGGGCUUUCCAAACUUAUGUAUUAUUAUUUUUGGUGGCGCAUAAUAAACAGCGCGAUGCUUUUUUUCAGUUCGAGUGUAGUAAAAUUUUUUCUUGCUUGAGUUGUGAACAGCGUCAUCGCUCAAAU
This 230-nucleotide unclassified non-coding RNA is filed under the name Paraglomus sp. Its description in RNAcentral is "partial contains 5.8S ribosomal RNA and internal transcribed spacer 2". The stretch from base 1 to 65 matches the Rfam family "5.8S ribosomal RNA", at positions 84 to 154 of the family's 154-position model. The record is from RNAcentral. Lineage: Eukaryota; Fungi; Glomeromycota; Glomeromycetes; Paraglomerales; Paraglomeraceae.